UUUUGAAGUACCUCAGGGGUUAGAAUAUUAUUUUCAUACGGCAGUAGUCUUUGGUUCAAAUCCAAUUGUAGAU
Molecule: transfer RNA, 73 nt
Filed under: Isolepis setacea
Lineage: Eukaryota; Viridiplantae; Streptophyta; Magnoliopsida; Poales; Cyperaceae
Description: tRNA-Met
Source: RNAcentral